This 663-nucleotide long non-coding RNA is filed under the name Ananas comosus (pineapple). Its description in RNAcentral is "long non-coding RNA (ACOM_LNC012652)". Lineage: Eukaryota; Viridiplantae; Streptophyta; Magnoliopsida; Poales; Bromeliaceae. The record is from RNAcentral.
GAGUAAUGCUUCUAUAUAUUUUUUUUUUGGUUACCGUUCAUUCACGUGUAUUCAACGGCUCAGAUUUAGUUUUUUUAAAAUUGUGACCUGCAAUAGCAGGUCACUUUGGGAGAGGUACCGGUUACCAGGUACCUCAAAAAAGAAUAUUUUUGUCUUUUAAUACAUGGGCAAUUUAGUCAUUUUACAUCUACUAUAUUUUCAAAAUUUUUAUUUUUUCUUUGUUUCCUUUUUCUCUCUCUAUCUUUCCUUUCAUAAUUUGGCAUUUCAUAUAAGGAAAAUUUCAAAUGUUUUGACAAUAUAAUCAUUGAAUUUAAACUUUAAAUAGUAAUAUGAAAUUCCUCUAAUUUAAAUUUCACUUUUAAAUUUAAAAUUUAAUAUUAUAUUCAAAUUUAUAUUUUAAAAAUUUAAGUUUCAUAUAAAUACUUUGAAAUAUGGUAAACAGAAAUAAUUGUUUGAAUUCUAGUCUUCUGGUUUAGGUUUGAUUUUGGGUUUCGAAAAAUUGGUCAGUUUUGAAUUUGGAUAUGGAUUUUUGAAAUCCGUCGAGUUCGGAAAUAAGUUUUGUGAUUGUUAGUCAGAUUCGAAUUCAAAUUCCUAACUAUUUUUUUUCUCACCAAUAAUUCUAAUCUUUUUAAUUUAUAUGUUUAAAAUUAUAUUUAAAAUAUU